AUUGAACGCUGGCGGCAGGCCUAACACAUGCAAGUCGAACGAGUGGCGGACGGGUGAGUAAUGUCUGGGAAACUGCCUGAUGGAGGGGGAUAACUACUGGAAACGGUAGCUAAUACCGCAUACCAUCGGAUGUGCCCAGAUGGGAUUAGCUAGUAGGUGGGGUAAAGGCUCACCUAGGCGACGAUCCCUAGCUGGUCUGAGAGGAUGACCGGUCACAUAGGAACUAAGACACGGACCAGACUCCUACGGCAGGGAGCAGUGGGGUAUAUUGCAGAAUGGGCGCAAGCCUGAUGCAUACAUGCGGCGUGGAUGAAGAGGGCCUUGGGGUUGUAAAGUACAUUCAGCAAGGAGGCGUUACCCGCAGAAGAAGCACCGGCUAACUCCGUGCCAGCAGCCGCGGUAAUAC
Molecule: ribosomal RNA, 406 nt
Filed under: uncultured bacterium
Lineage: Bacteria
Description: partial 16S ribosomal RNA
Rfam family: Bacterial small subunit ribosomal RNA
Source: RNAcentral